This is a non-coding RNA of Lactuca sativa (garden lettuce), 4341 nucleotides long. Lineage: Eukaryota; Viridiplantae; Streptophyta; Magnoliopsida; Asterales; Asteraceae. The record is from RefSeq and is a predicted model, not a curated record.
GACUAAUAUGACUCAUACAAGUUUUUUAAUAUCUUUUAUUAGUUAUAUAUUCUACUAUUUGUUACCAAAUCAUUUGAACCCCUAUCCCACUCUACCCCUUCCGUUUAUUUCCACGAAGUCAAAAUAGUUGCCAUUAUUCCUUACACCAAUAUAUACUCUGCGGCUCAAAGUUACACGAUUCGCUCAAAAGGUCGUGUACCACGUUUGGAACGUUCCGUACCCAAAUGUAGUACAAAAUCGAUCCCAACGGUGGCCGAAACGCUCUCUGGUACAACACCGAUUCAAUCAAGCAUAGAUACGAUGACGGGAACGCGAUUCUAUCGACUUGGAUUGCUCCGAUUCGCGUUUCUAGUACACCGAUUUGGCUCUUGGGUCGCUAAUUUGGCGAUUAGGCGGGAAUUGGAUUGUCGAGUCCAAAAAGCAACGAUUCACCAAAAACACACUUCGACUCUUUUUCUGAUUCCUUGAUACUAGGUACGAAUACCCUGUUAAUUCAUACCCCUCUCACCAUGAACUUCAUCUUCUUCAAUUACAUGAUUCUUGUAGUAAUCAUUUUUCCAAUUUCUACCUAUUAACAUUGACCUCCAGUAAUCAAUUUCCAAUUUCUACUUUUUCUUCUCUUCUACUCUUUUACUGCUAUUCUGUUAGUUAUUGAUAACGGUUUCCGGCACUAGUAUUCAUCUAUCAUAGAGUGAGAGUGAAACAUAAGCACUAGAAAAUUUUGUUGACAUUGGUGAGGACGGCAUACCAGUAGGCGUAUCAGGAAGCAAAAAUGAUAAAGAAGCUGGCAAACCUCUUUUGGAAGAAAUGACUGGUUGGUUCAGGUGCUAGUAAGAAUGUUGGUGGAUCAAAGUAAUGGAUUUGUAACCAUCGCAAAGUGAAAUAUACAAUCUCGUACACUAGAAUUCAUACGCAUUUCUUUGGUGCUCAAGCUGAGAAGCUGGCAGAAAUUAGAAGUUGUCCAGCUAUGAUUAAAGAUCCGUCCAAGCUACAACGAAUUUCGAGCAAGGUGAAAGAAGCCAAGAGCGGAGGUGUUUCAAGAUCCUUAAAAAACUCAGUCCUUUCAAAAAAUUCGUCAUCAUAAAAACGACUUAAGAAGCUUUUAGUGUCAUUGACGUAAUAUAGUGGACAUGAAGAUCAUGAGAUGGAUAUAAACCUCCAGCUAGUGAAUAGGCAAGAACGAUGAAUGUGUGGAGAGAUCGAUAAAGAACAAAUACAAGUGAAAGAUACUUGGUACACUCAGGGUGUUUCUAUUAUUCUGGAUGGGUGGUCUAAUAUCAAACAAAAGCCACUUCUCAAUGUUCUUGCCAUCAACGCUCGUGGUGCAGUGGUCAUGUACGUGGAAGAUUAGUGGGGGGUCGAGAAAACGGGAGUGGCGAUUUCCAAGUUUCUAAAAGGAGGAAUUGAAGCCGUUGGUCCAAGUAAUGUCUUGCAAGUGGUGACCGACAACGCGGCUAAUUGCAAAGCCGUCGGACGCGAGAUUGAAAAGUGUUCUUCCCACAGGCUACAAACUAAAUGGCCAAAACUAUAGUCUUCGGUCACAUUCUAUCUUGAUUUUCAUAGGAGGAAAAGGAAAAGAGGGAUACUUGGAGGAAGAUCUAAUUCAACCUGAAGAGAAAAGUCCCCAGUUUAAAAAAUGGAAAGCAGAAAACAACAUGGUCAUGUCAUGGCUCUUAAACUCAAUGACACCCGAAAUUGGAGAACAAUUUAUGUUUUAUAAAACUGCAUCAGAAAUUUGGGUUGCAGCCUGACACGUUUUCAAAUCAAGACAACACCUCAGCUUUUUGAAAUUAAAGGCAUCCUACAUGAUCUUCGUCAGGGGAACUGUAACAAGCUACUUUACAGCUCUAAACCGCCAUUGGCAACAACCAGAUGUUCUCGAUACCUUUACUUGGAGUUGCUCUGCAGAUGGAAAACACUAAAAGCAUAUACUGUAGACGGAAAGAAUCUACAGAUUCCUUCUUGGGCUAAAUCAAGAUCUUGAUGAGGUUCGAGGAAGAAUACUAGGUACGAAGUGAAUACCUAAACUCCGAGAAGUCUUCUCAGAAGUUCGUUGGGAAGAAAGUGGAAGAAGGGGCAUGCUUGGUACUAGUAGCAAUCCAAUAACCGAAGGAACUGCUCUUGCAACUCGAUUUCCACCCAACACCAAACCAACAUCAGGUUCUGGACCUUCUCAGAACCUUCUCAAAAGAAGAUUGGACGACCAUGGUGUGAUCAUUGCAAGUGACCAAGGCAUAUUAAAGAAACCUAUUGGAAGAUUCAUGGUAAACCUGCUGAUUGGAAACCCAGUUCACGUAGAAACGUAGCAACAAGUGACACUCAAGAGAUGUUUACAAAGGAACAAAUUGAAGCACUUCGGAGGAUUUUGCAAUGUCCAUCCUUCGAAGAGAAAGGAACAGCCGUUGUCACACAACAAAGUGGGUCCUCAUCAGCAUUUACAACAUGUACUUCAGGCCUUGAAUUUGGGGAAGAUGAUUGGCAGUGCUAAAGUCUUUGAUGAACUCUGCCACUGUGAAACUGAGCAUUCGGAUAAAAGUCAAGUUGCAUCUUCAUUUAAUGUUUCUAGUCAAAAUAGUGUGAUGUUAUGGCAUUAUAGAUUAGGUCACCCAAACUUCUCCUAUCUUCAAAAAUUGUUUCCAUAUUUAUUCAAUAAAAACCCGAAUGAUUAUAAAUGUGAAGUGUGUCAAAUAUCCAAGCACAUUAGACAUACUUAUUCUCCUUUACAAUAUAAGCCUUCCCAUCCUUUUCAUUUAAUCCAUAGUGAUGUUUGGGGACCUAGAGUGAAAAACAUAUCAGGUGCGAGAUGGUUCGUAACAUUUAUCGCCGAUCAUACUCGCAUCAUAUGGGUCUUUCUGAUGAAAGAAAAAUCUGAAGUUGGAUCAAUCUUUCGGUCAUUCUAUCAAAUGAUUCAAAAUCAAUUUGCAACCAAAAUUCAAAUCCUUAAAUCCGACAACACAAAGGAAUAUUUCCACUUUGAAUUGGGCAAUUACCUAACUCAACAAGGAAUUGUCCAUGUUACGUCGUGUGUUGAUACCCCACAACAAAAUGGCGUCCCUGAGAGGAAGAAAUAAGAACAGACGUCUUCUUGAGGUAACCCGGUCUCUAUUGUUCUCAAGUCCAGGUAUUCUCAAGUCCAGCCCCUACCUAAAGCACAUACUCCUGUCGGAAUUAUGUGGAAUAUCAGUAAUUUAAUGUAUCAUAAUUUGAAUUCCUCAGAGUCUAUUCAUCAUGCAGAAAUUCCCACUUCAGCACAUACUCUUGUUGGAAUUAACUUUGAAAUCGCUACUCCACCGUUAAAUGAAACAUCAGAUAAAGAGGGUGAUAAGGAUUACAUUUUUUAAACUAGACGCCAAAACAACAUGUGGUGGUAAAGCAAGUCACAACUGUGGCACACAAUCAUGAAUCAUUCCUGGAUUCUCAAGAAUUCUAAAGGUGGGAUUAAUGAGAGGAUGGAUAAUAUGAUGGGGGGAAAUCAAAGACAUAAUGCAAGAAAAUACUUAUGCUAGCUAUUACCAACAAGUGAAGAUAAUUUUAAAUAGAUGGGAGAAGAUGAAUAUCCCACUACAUUGUUUGGGGUUUGCAUUAAACCCACGGUUUUAUGAUAGGCAAUAUCUUCAAAAAAUGACACCUGGUGGUAUGAAAAGGAAACCACCAAAUUUAGACAAAGAGGUUAUGCAAGGUGUCAUGGAAUCCUUCAAUAGAAUUUCUGAAAAUGAAGAGGAGGGGCGAUCGUUACGAGAGCAAUUCGUAACAUUCCAUAUGACGAAAUGUAUCUACUCUACAGCGGAAACACAAACUUAUGCUUUGACAAUUGAUCCAAUAGAUUGGUGGUCUACCUAUGGAGCCAAAACCCCAAAUUUGGCCUUUGUAGCAAAGAAGGUACUUUCACAACCUGUUAGUAGCUCGUUGGCGGAAAGGAAUUGGAGUACGUAUUCUUAUAUUCAUAAUGUGAAAAGAAACCGGUUGAAUGAAAAAAGAGCCGACAAAUUGGUUUACAUUCACUCCAACAUUCAACUCGUAUCUCGUUUCCAUGAAUCAUACAAAUCUGGCCCACACAAAAAGUGGGACAUCAAUCCCAAAAGCACUUACAUUGAAGGCUCAAGUUCUCGAUUAGAUGACAUGAUUUGGGAGAAUUUAGAUGAAGAAAAUGUGGAAAAUGGACAAGGAAAAAGGCAAUGGGUAGAUUGACUUGUUAGGUUUUUAUUUUUGUUUGUUUACGAUUCCUGUUUCUGUUUUUAAGUGGUUAGAAAACUGUUUCUGUUUUUGAUUUCCAGCAUGUAAACUUUAUAAUCCAUGUAUUUUGAUAUUAUGAAUUAUGGAAUCAUAAAAUACCUUGCUGGA